RNAcentral lists this long non-coding RNA (2262 nucleotides) under Mus musculus (house mouse). Its description in RNAcentral is "predicted gene 44618". The record is from RNAcentral. Lineage: Eukaryota; Metazoa; Chordata; Mammalia; Rodentia; Muridae.
AGCACAGCAGCUUGUGAUGGGCGAUUACCAUCAUCCUUCCCCACACAAUGGGACACCAGCCUGCUGAAAUCCCAUUUCACAGAGGCACACCACUGAGGCUGGAAGGACAAGUCACCAGCCUGGGCUUCUCAAACUGAGCCCUUCACCCAACAGUGGACUUCAAGGCUGAAGAAAGAGCAGCAGAAUGAGGUGAGGGGUCCGGAACACUUACCCAGGUAGGACAGAUGGAUUUGCUCUGGUGUAACAUGAGGAUACUCUUGGGCUCCCUGGACUCCCGGGGAGAAAGGCAGGAGCAUGCAGAAGAAGAGCCAGCCUCCAAGAAAGGGGCUCAUGGUAGGAAGAAAGGGGAUGGUGGGAAGCCGAGUGGAAUGCAGGGAUGUGAUCAAAUUCCGCUGGUGGGUCCCACAGAGGAUGGAGAAUGGACCGAUGCCAGGCAGAGCCGUGUGUCCGUCUGUCAGGAUGUCUGUGGGGGAGGAAGACUGAAUGACUGAAACGUCUCUGAGGGGAGUGGUGAAGGAGAUGCUGGUGAGAGAAUAAUUAAUGAGGUUUCUGAGCCUCGCUGCUCAGCACUUUGCAUAGAUUAAUGGCAGGAGGCCUCACAGCAUUCCUAUGAGGUGGUGGCGACAGACAUCACCAACCCAGUCACAUAUAGGAAACUGAGCAACCGAGUGACUCAGUGGCAAGGCUAGGAUGAGAUGCAGCUGAGUUUGAACCCUUCCGGCCCAGGCUCCUGAUCCUGGGAGGGGGCUAGGAGGCUGGGGGGCGGGGAUGCCUUUGACAACGCCAUCCCCAACAUCUCUGUCUUCUCUUAGCGACCUAUUCUCCAGAUUCUUAGCAUCCCACUGUACCCUCAGCCUCUCUAAUUCAUCCUCAGAUUUCCACUUAUUCCUCCGGACCCGAUAACUCCAACUCUACUCCCAGAUUUCUCAUUAGCUCCACCUGCCUGGAGCGGCUUCUUCUCAUUCCCCUCCCCAACAUCCCAUCUUGCCUUCAGAUCUCUCUCCUCCCCGGGCUCCAUCCUCAUCCCAGCUGCCUCUCCAGCCCUGAACCUGCAUUGCCUGAACCCCGGUUUCUCCUCAGCUCCCAGGCCAGCUGAGGUUCUGAAGUUCGGUCCACCUGCCCUCGGGACCUGGACAGGUGCCUCGGGUCUGAAAGAACCGUCCACCGAAGGUCGAGAGCUGGGACGUGGGGUGGGGGGCGCAAUCGGGAAGGGGACGCCGGCUCACCCUCAGGGGCGCGCCAGCCGCCCUCACGGUCCUCUCGGCCACCGAUGCGCUGCAGUAUUUAUGAGCUUGCAGGGACACAGGCUCCCGCCGCCCACAGGUGUCCCAGCCCCGGAAGAGCCGGCUGCUUCAGGUGACGGGCUCCCCAGACAGCCCGAGCCCCGUGUCCCACAGGUCCGGCCGGUCCCUGGCGCCCCACGCCCACCCUCACGCCCCCCUCAGGGUGGGGCGCAGAAAGAGGGGACCCAGAAAAGCAUGGGACGCCGCCACCUCCGAGCCAGACAGCAGGUUAGCGCCGGGACAGUGUUGGGAGCCAUUAAGGCAACGCUAUUGUCCUGAUCUCUGAAUUGGGCCUCUCCCCCCAAGAAGAAAAGAGGGUCAAAAGCGGGCCACCGGACGCACCGCUCAGAGAAAGUCAGCGCCGGAUGUCCUGACCUCAAGAUACCCUGAUACCGCCAAGUUCUUGCUUCCCCGUGUAACUGCCUAAGAAUGUGCAAUUCUAUUGCCCCCCUCCCACUGAUAAAUACUUCACCUUUUGCUUGUAUUGCCCCAUCCCUCCCGCUGAUAAGUAUCUGUACUUCCCUGUUUCCUUGUGCAAUUCUACUGCCCCAUCCUUCCUGCUGAAAGGCACUUCCCCUUUUGCUUGUGUAUUUAAACCUUGGGCCUGGCUAAUACAUUUUGGGGUCUUGAUACAACUUCAGAACGGUUUCCGUGUCGUUAUUCGUACAAGACCCUCGUCUCUCUCUACCCCCCAUUUGGUUAUUAGGAGGAGGUCCCCUCGAGAUCCUCGAAUAACUGGACCUGCUGGACGGGUCACUUUAGGAUGGGGUUUCCUGUAGCCCAUGAUGGCCUUCAGUUACAGAGCUAGAGCAAUGGAUGAACUUAGCUUCUGCCACCAAGGUACUGGGUUUGCAGCUUUAUACCGAGAGGGCAGCCUCUCAGGAGGUGAGCUGUCCAGUUUGAGAGGUUGACACACUCAUCCUCCUUUAAACGCAUCUGAGAGUCUCAAUAGUAUUUAUUGACAGCGGAUGGCUUAAGG